UGCACUGUAUGGUAUCUACACCCAGCAGUCUUUUUCCUGGUGGGGUGUUCAAAAGCCAGUGCUAAAGGAAUGCAAUAUCUGGCAUCGUUGGUUUCCUUGCCGUUCGUGCUUGUUAAACCUGGUAUUUGUAUUGCUACAGGC
Small nucleolar RNA from Ornithorhynchus anatinus (platypus), 141 nucleotides. RefSeq annotates it as small nucleolar RNA SNORA8. The record is from RefSeq and is a predicted model, not a curated record. Lineage: Eukaryota; Metazoa; Chordata; Mammalia; Monotremata; Ornithorhynchidae. The transcript has a single exon.